This 301-nucleotide ribosomal RNA is filed under the name uncultured bacterium. Its description in RNAcentral is "partial 16S ribosomal RNA". It matches the Rfam family "Bacterial small subunit ribosomal RNA", at positions 509 to 807 of the family's 1533-position model. The record is from RNAcentral.
CAGCCGCCGCGGUAACACGUAGGUGGCAAGCGUUGUCCGGAAUUAUUGGGCGUAAAGGGCUCGCAGGCGGUUUCUUAAGUCUGAUGUGAAAGCCCCCGGCUCAACCGGGGAGGGUCAUUGGAAACUGGGAAACUUGAGUGCAGAAGAGGAGAGUGGAAUUCCACGUGUAGCGGUGAAAUGCGUAGAGAUGUGGAGGAACACCAAUGGCGAAGGCGACUCUCUGGUCUGUAACUGACGCUGAGGAGCGAAAGCGUGGGGAGCGAACAGGAUUAGAUACCCCCGUAGUCCCUGUCUCUUAUAC